GUGGGGAAUAUUGGACAAUGGGCGAAAGCCUGAUCCAGCCAUGCCGCGUGUGUGAAGAAGGUCUUCGGAUUGUAAAGCACUUUAAGUUGGGAGGAAGGGCAGUAAGCUAAUACCUUGCUGUUUUGACGUUACCGACAGAAUAAGCACCGGCUAACUUCGUGCCAGCAGCCGCGGUAAUACGAAGGGUGCAAGCGUUAAUCGGAAUUACUGGGCGUAAAGCGCGCGUAGGUGGUUUUGUAAGUUGAAGGUGAAAUCCCCGGGCUCAACCUUGGAACUGCCUCCAACACUGCAUGACUAGAGUACGGUAGAGGGUAGUGGAAUUUCCUGUGUAUCGGUGAAAUGCGUAGAUAUAGGAAGGAACACCAGUGGCGAAGGCGACUACCUGGACUGAUACUGACACUGAGGUGCGAAAGCGUGGGGAGCAAACAGGAUUAGAAACCCCAGUAGUCC
This 450-nucleotide ribosomal RNA is filed under the name uncultured bacterium. Its description in RNAcentral is "partial 16S ribosomal RNA". It matches the Rfam family "Bacterial small subunit ribosomal RNA", at positions 354 to 796 of the family's 1533-position model. The record is from RNAcentral.